CAAGAAAUUUGUUGUAUUAUAUAAGAAAUUUUCUUAUAUAUGGAUAAUAGAAAUAUUAACCCAGACAGAUAUAAGAUCGAUUUGAUCGAAUAAAGUUCUAGAUGGAUUACUGAUGAUGACAAUUUUCCAUCUAUAUGUCUUGACCAAUUUACGUGCCAGCAGUCGCGGCAAUACGUAUAAGACUAGUGUUAUUCAUCUUUAAUAGGUUUAAAGGGUACCUAGACGGUAUAAUCAGUCUUUAAUAGGAUACGUUUAUACUAGAGUUAAAUAUGAGGAGGGGAGUAUUUAAGAUGUAGAGUUGAAAUUCGUUGAUAUCUUGACGACUGGCAACGGCGAAAGCAACCUUUUAUCUAAUAACUGACGUUGAGGGACGAAGGCAUUGAGUCACGAACAGGAUUAGAUACCCUAGUAGUCUUUGCAGAGAAUGAUGAAUGCCAUAGAUUAGAAGUUUUUAGUCUAUAAAUGAAAGUGUAAGCAUUUCACCUCAAGAGUAAUGUGGCAACGCAGGAACUGAAAUCAUUAGACCGUUUCUGAAACCAGUAGUGAAGUAUGUUAUUUAAUUCGUAGUUACGCGAAAAACCUUACCACAAUUUGAAUAUUAUCUAAUAAUAUGCUUAAUGCAUAUUAUAUGAUAUUACAAGCGUUGCACGGCUGUCUUCAGUUAAUGUCGUGAGAUAUUGGUUAAUUCCAUUAAAUUAACGGAAACCCUUGCUUUAUUUACGAUAAAAAGAAAUAAAGCAGUUCACCACUUAUAAUGGAAAUGAUAACAGGGAUCAAGACAAGUC
This 785-nucleotide ribosomal RNA is filed under the name Clauzadea monticola. Its description in RNAcentral is "SSU rRNA". It matches the Rfam family "Bacterial small subunit ribosomal RNA", at positions 1 to 1191 of the family's 1533-position model. Lineage: Eukaryota; Fungi; Ascomycota; Lecanoromycetes; Lecideales; Lecideaceae. The record is from RNAcentral.